CCGGGAAACCGGGGCUAAUACCGGAUGGUUGUUUGAACCGCAUGGUUCAAACAUAAAAGGUGGCUUCGGCUACCACUUACAGAUGGACCCGCGGCGCAUUAGCUAGUUGGUGAGGUAACGGCUCACCAAGGCAACGAUGCGUAGCCGACCUGAGAGGGUGAUCGGCCACACUGGGACUGAGACACGGCCCAGACUCCUACGGGAGGCAGCAGUAGGGAAUCUUCCGCAAUGGACGAAAGUCUGACGGAGCAACGCCGCGUGAGUGAUGAAGGUUUUCGGAUCGUAAAGCUCUGUUGUUAGGGAAGAACAAGUACCGUUCGAAUAGGGCGGUACCUUGACGGUACCUAACCAGAAAGCCACGGCUAA
This 366-nucleotide ribosomal RNA is filed under the name Bacillus subtilis. Its description in RNAcentral is "bacterial SSU rRNA". It matches the Rfam family "Bacterial small subunit ribosomal RNA", at positions 149 to 500 of the family's 1533-position model. The record is from RNAcentral. Lineage: Bacteria; Bacillati; Bacillota; Bacilli; Caryophanales; Bacillaceae.